GAUGAACGCUGGCGGCGUGCUUAACACAUGCAAGUCGAGCGAAGCAGUUAAGAAGAUUCUUCGGAUGAUCCUUAACUGACUGAGCGGCGGACGGGUGAGUAACGCGUGGGUGACCUGCCCCAUACCGGGGGAUAACAGCUGGAAACGGCUGCUAAUACCGCAUAAGCGCACAGAGCUGCAUGGCUCGGUGUGAAAAACUCCGGUGGUAUGGGAUGGGCCCGCGUCUGAUUAGGCAGUUGGCGGGGUAACGGCCCACCAAACCGACGAUCAGUAGCCGGCCUGAGAGGGCGACCGGCCACAUUGGGACUGAGACACGGCCCAAACUCCUACGGGAGGCAGCAGUGGGGAAUAUUGCACAAUGGGGGAAACCCUGAUGCAGCGACGCCGCGUGAGCGAAGAAGUAUUUCGGUAUGUAAAGCUCUAUCAGCAGGGAAGAU
Molecule: ribosomal RNA, 437 nt
Filed under: uncultured bacterium
Lineage: Bacteria
Description: bacterial SSU rRNA
Rfam family: Bacterial small subunit ribosomal RNA
Source: RNAcentral